CAGCAGCCGCGGGAAUACGUAGGUGGCAAGCGUUGUCCGGAAUUAUUGGGCGUAAAGGGCUCGCAGGCGGUUUCUUAAGUCUGAUGUGAAAGCCCCCGGCUCAACCGGGGAGGGUCAUUGGAAACUGGGAAACUUGAGUGCAGAAGAGGAGAGUGGAAUUCCACGUGUAGCGGUGAAAUGCGUAGGGAUGUGGAGGAACACCAGUGGCGAAGGCGACUCUCUGGUCUGUAACUGACGCUGAGGAGCGAAAGCGUGGGGAGCGAACAGGAUUAGAUACCCGCGUAGUCCCUGUCUCUUAUAC
This 301-nucleotide ribosomal RNA is filed under the name uncultured bacterium. RNAcentral's name for it is "partial 16S ribosomal RNA". It matches the Rfam family "Bacterial small subunit ribosomal RNA", at positions 509 to 807 of the family's 1533-position model. The record is from RNAcentral.